RNAcentral lists this ribosomal RNA (253 nucleotides) under uncultured bacterium. RNAcentral describes it as "partial 16S ribosomal RNA". It matches the Rfam family "Bacterial small subunit ribosomal RNA", at positions 524 to 776 of the family's 1533-position model. The record is from RNAcentral.
UACGUAGGGUGCAAGCGUUGUCCGGAAUUAUUGGGCGUAAAGCGUGCGUAGGUGGUUUGUUAAGUCUGAUGUGAAAGCCCUGGGCUCAACCUGGGAACUGCAUUGGAUACUGGCUUACUAGAGUGCGGUAGAGGGGUGUGGAAUUCCCGGUGUAGCAGUGAAAUGCGUAGAUAUCGGGAGGAACAUCUGUGGCGAAGGCGACACCCUGGACCAGCACUGACACUGAGGCACGAAAGCGUGGGGAGCAAACAGG